AUGGAUCCGGUCUUGCACUGCACUGUUUCAAGCUUCAGUCAACAGUCUCGGAGCAAACGGAGCAGCAGGGAUUUCUGGGUGACUAAGCUACGCUCAUGUAGAAAUCCUGCUGCUCGUACGGAUGGGUUGGUUUUCUGGCCGAAGAGGCGGAAAUGUCUGCAGCUAAAUAGUUAUGUAACAGCACAUCCGGAGAGUGUGUGCUGCUUCAACCCUCCUGUGACCUACGCUCACCGCUAACAAGCUCGUCAAACGAGGCUGGGGUUUGCAUUGUUGACAGAAAAGAUGGCCGACGGGUUGGAUAUUUAACGGACUAAUCAGCCUUCGUGUCCGUGUUUUACAUUUGUACCUCGUAAAAUCUGCGUGUGAUGUGUUCAGGGACCUUCUAGAGAAUAGGCCAUAAAUGAUUUGAAGACAAAAAUUACGAGAGCACAAAUCCUUAAGUUGUAUUACAGUUGUUUAUUUUGAUUUAAACAUGCUUUUAAUACAUUUAUUAAAAGAAAAGUUCACUGCUGAAAAGCGAUCUCUUUGGCUGCUAAAAUAAUCUGCUUGACUGGCAGCUUCUUUCCCCAGUGACCAUUCGCCAGUCAGUCACCUCAGUCACUGAGCCACAAUGUUUACAUUAACUGUCUAGUGAACAAAUCAGGAAUCCGUGAACCCUGAACGUGGGAGUAUUUAAUCACGUCCCUAAUCUUUAUUGUAUUGUCAGCUGCGGUGAUGUCAUUUUCCCACAGCCCAGAGAGGAGGAGUGAAGUAAGGUUCUUGUGUGCCACUGAAUGCACCAAUCCAAUGGCCCGGUGAUAAAAGCGGGGCAGUCUAAAGCAUUCUUCUUCAGAAGAGACGUCGCUGCUCAACACACAACACACUGGCGGUGAACCUUCUUUCUGACCGUUUUUGUAGCAGUCUGCCACAAUGUCACGUCACCUUUAUCCUCAUACAUUAAAUGAGUCAUAUCAUGCUUUUCAUUCUAAAAAAUAUUAGACUUUAAUGUCUCAGUAAGGUCUCUGUAAAUUUUCAUCCCAUAAAACCCUUUAGAUCGUCCACACUGCCCCUGUCAAUGUGUGGUUUUCACUCUCCAUCAGCAAACGCUGUGUUUUGUGGGCGUGUCGCAAGCGAAGCUGCUCACCACACCUCUGUGCGGAAGCGCAUACCUUUUUUGUUGUUGUUUUUUUUUUAAAUUGGCUCCAUGGAUACGAGCCACCGCACGGUUAGGAUACAAUAGGUGGCAGUAGUGCGACAUUGAGAAUGCAAUCCACCGCAAUCCUCCACAGAAGAAGAAGACCCACUACAGGACUGCACGACGUUAGCCAGCCAGCUAGUUCGUAGCGUAGUAGAACCAUACGUCUACGAUCCCGAAUCUGACCCUGAAGCUGAAGAGGAGGCUGUUGAAGUCACCACAUUUCGGCUGAUGCAAGAUGUGUCUCAUUGGUAUUGGUAUGAAUGUCGCAUUUACUUCAAUUUAAUUGAUUUAUGUAAUUUGCAAAGCGACUAGCGGUUGCUAAUGCGAAUGCUAAAUGGCGUGUGCAGCUUCAAUAUUCACAACACGACUUACCUGGAAAACUCUCGUUAAUAGAUAACACUACUUUAGCUCACGUUAUACAAAUAAAUAAGUUUGAGAGCAUAGCUGAAAUAAUAUA
Molecule: long non-coding RNA, 1634 nt
Organism: Betta splendens (Siamese fighting fish)
Lineage: Eukaryota; Metazoa; Chordata; Actinopteri; Anabantiformes; Osphronemidae
Source: Ensembl